UCGAGAAUCUUCGGCAAUGGGCGCAAGCCUGACCGAGCGACGCCGCGUGCGGGAUGAAGGCCUUCGGGUUGUAAACCGCUGUCGGGAGGGAUGAAGUGCAUGGGGGUUCUCCCCCGUGUUUGACAGAGCUCCGGAGGAAGCACGGGCUAAGUUCGUGCCAGCAGCCGCGGUAAUACGAACUGUGCGAACGUUAUUCGGAAUCACUGGGCUUAAAGGGUGCGUAGGCGGCGCUCCAAGUCAGGUGUGAAAU
Molecule: ribosomal RNA, 250 nt
Filed under: uncultured bacterium
Lineage: Bacteria
Description: partial 16S ribosomal RNA
Rfam family: Bacterial small subunit ribosomal RNA
Source: RNAcentral